GUUCACUGGAGCUCUUCAAAAUAACUGCCAGGUCUCUUCGACCUCUAAACUUUUGGAAAGUGCAUCCAAAAGUGUAUUCUUCAUCCCUGAGAAACCAUACCAUACAGAAAGAAACAGGAAGAACAGAAAGACUAAUAUAUAGCCACCAGACCUCCAGGACUAUCUUUACUACUGGAAACCCCCAGGUGCUUUUUCUCUUAAUUAAAAAAAAAUUAAAUGUAGAAAAGUUUUGACAGUUGUUUUAUGACAUUUUGUGAUUCA
Molecule: long non-coding RNA, 261 nt
Organism: Gracilinanus agilis (Agile Gracile Mouse Opossum)
Lineage: Eukaryota; Metazoa; Chordata; Mammalia; Didelphimorphia; Didelphidae
Exons: 3
Source: RefSeq, a predicted model, not a curated record